UACAGAGGUCCCAAGCGUUGUUCGGAUUCACUGGGCGUAAAGGGUGCGUAGGCGGUGGGGUAAGUCUGAUGUGAAAGCUCGCAGCUCAACUGCGAAAUGGCAUUGGAAACUACCUCGCUAGAGGAGUGGAGGGGGGACUGGAAUACUUGGUGUAGCAGUGAAAUGCGUAGAUAUCAAGUGGAACACCAGUGGCGAAGGCGAGUCCCUGGACACCUCCUGACGCUGAGGCACGAAAGCUAGGGGAGCAAACAGG
RNAcentral lists this ribosomal RNA (253 nucleotides) under uncultured bacterium. Its description in RNAcentral is "partial 16S ribosomal RNA". It matches the Rfam family "Bacterial small subunit ribosomal RNA", at positions 524 to 776 of the family's 1533-position model. The record is from RNAcentral.